This 445-nucleotide ribosomal RNA is filed under the name uncultured bacterium. Its description in RNAcentral is "SSU rRNA". It matches the Rfam family "Bacterial small subunit ribosomal RNA", at positions 26 to 518 of the family's 1533-position model. The record is from RNAcentral.
AGAACGAACGCUGGCGGCAGGCCUAACACAUGCAAGUCGAACGCCCCGCAAGGGGAGUGGCAGACGGGUGAGUAACACGUGGGAACAUACCCUUCGGUUCGGAAUAACUCAGGGAAACUUGAGCUAAUACCGGAUACGUCCGCGAGGAGAAAGAUUCAUCGCCGGAGGAUUGGCCCGCGUCCGAUUAGCUAGUUGGUGAGGUAACGGCUCACCAAGGCGACGAUCGGUAGCUGGUCUGAGAGGAUGAUCAGCCACAUUGGGACUGAGACACGGCCCAAACUCCUACGGGAGGCAGCAGUGGGGAAUAUUGGACAAUGGGCGAAAGCCUGAUCCAGCCAUGCCGCGUGAGUGAUGAAGGCCCUAGGGUUGUAAAGGCUCUUUCGUCAGGGACGAUAAUGACGGUACCUGAAGAAGAAGCCCCGGCUAACUUCGUGCCAGCAGCCGC